CCAUUGACAACAACUACUGCCCCAGUGACAACAACUACUGCCCCAGUGACAACAACUACUGUAGCUGGAGCCCUUAUGUGUCUAAAUUGUGUAGAUGAGCAGUGUUCAAACCCACAGACUGUGACAUGUCCUGACUCACAGACGAUGUGUGUAACAGCUACUUCUCUAGAAACCCGUGCCGGAGGGGUAGAGACACAUGUUUUCAAGAGGUGUGCAUCGUCCUCAGUGUGUCCAGCCACAGGCCCUCGUUCAUUUUCAACCAGCUUUAGGGGUGAUGGUGUAGUUAC
Molecule: long non-coding RNA, 287 nt
Organism: Acanthopagrus latus (yellowfin seabream)
Lineage: Eukaryota; Metazoa; Chordata; Actinopteri; Spariformes; Sparidae
Exons: 3
Source: RefSeq, a predicted model, not a curated record